Malaclemys terrapin pileata is the source of this 180-nucleotide long non-coding RNA. RefSeq lists it as uncharacterized. The record is from RefSeq and is a predicted model, not a curated record. Lineage: Eukaryota; Metazoa; Chordata; Testudines; Emydidae. The transcript is spliced from 3 exons.
CCUGCAGGGCGUCUCCCGAUAUUGGAAGACCCAACGCUACGACUUCUCCUCACCCAUGAAGAUGGCUGAGGCGUUUGCAGUGAUGAGACAGGAGUUAAACAGGAGAGCAGUAGAAGCCACCAGGAGGGAAUAUGACCAAUUUGUGCAGGAGCUGGACCGUGACCACCAGAGCAUGAGCAG